RNAcentral lists this ribosomal RNA (253 nucleotides) under uncultured bacterium. RNAcentral describes it as "partial 16S ribosomal RNA". It matches the Rfam family "Bacterial small subunit ribosomal RNA", at positions 524 to 776 of the family's 1533-position model. The record is from RNAcentral.
UACGAAGGGGGCUAGCGUUGCUCGGAAUGACUGGGCGUAAAGGGCGCGUAGGCGGACGUCUUAGUCAGGCGUGAAAGCCCUGGGCUUAACCUGGGAACUGCGCUUGAUACUGGGAGUCUAGAGUGGGGAAGAGGGUCGUGGAAUUCCCAGUGUAGAGGUGAAAUUCGUAGAUAUUGGGAAGAACACCGGUGGCGAAGGCGGCGACCUGGUCCUAGACUGACGCUGAGGCGCGAAAGCGUGGGGAGCAAACAGG